GAUGAACGCUGACAGAAUGCUUAACACAUGCAAGUCAACCUGUGGUGGACGGGUGAGUAACGCGUAAAGAACUUGCCUAACAGUUAGGGAUAACAUUCGGAAACGAAUGCUAUAACCUGAUACUGUGAGAGAGCUUUGCGUUCCAUUAGCUAGUUGUAGAGGUAACGGCUCAGCAAGGCGAUGAUGGGUAGCCGGCCUGAGAGGGUGAGCGGCCACACGGGGACUGAGUCACAGCCCUGACUGCUGCGGGAGGCAGCGGUGAAGGCUAUUGGGCAAGAGGCCAAAGUCUGAUCCAGCAAUGCUGUGUGCACGAUGAAUUUUUCGGGAUGUAAAGAGCUUUCAGUUGUAAAGCUGUACCAACAGAAGAAGUGACGGCUAACUACGUGCCAGCAGCCGCGGUAAUUC
This 405-nucleotide ribosomal RNA is filed under the name uncultured bacterium. RNAcentral's name for it is "partial 16S ribosomal RNA". It matches the Rfam family "Bacterial small subunit ribosomal RNA", at positions 28 to 526 of the family's 1533-position model. The record is from RNAcentral.